RNAcentral lists this long non-coding RNA (549 nucleotides) under Gossypium barbadense (sea-island cotton). Its description in RNAcentral is "long non-coding RNA (GBAR_LNC008717)". Lineage: Eukaryota; Viridiplantae; Streptophyta; Magnoliopsida; Malvales; Malvaceae. The record is from RNAcentral.
UUUAUUUAAUAUUUGACUAUAAUUAAUUUUUAGUACAACUUAUACUUCUGUUUUUAUGGAAAGUACAACUACAUAUUUCCUACUAGAAUUAAAAUGAAAAUAAAACAUAACAUAAACAGCCAAUUGACCGAAAAAUAUCUCAAGUUGAAAAUACAAAAAUACACGUGUUGCCCACGUGAUCCUGGGUAAAUCAUUUCUAUUGCAUAUAAUAAGUGGCUCUCUUGUAAUUUUAACUAACAUUCAUGCCCAAUUACACUCCUCCCUUAUAGCUCACACUUUUCCUCCAUUUAAUAGCACUUCCAUCUCCAAAAAAAACCAAAACGAAAAAAGAACACUGGAAAUAAUAAUAUUAAAAAGACCGCCAAAUCCUUUUGUGUUUUUUUUUUCUUUUUUCAUCUCUUCGUUUGUUUCUCGAGAAAAUAUACACUUCCGGGUUCCGUGAAGUUAAUCGAGUUGCCGGCGCUGCUUUGAGGAAGGUAUUGAAGCAUGACGUCAGGGACGAGAAUGCCGACGUGGAAGGAGAGGGAGAACAACAAGCGGANNNNNNNN